GAUUAAGUUAUUAAGGGCGCACGGUGGAUGCCUUGGCACUAGAAGCCGAUGAAGGACGUUACUAACGACGAUAUGCUUUGGGGAGCUGUAAGUAAGCUUUGAUCCAGAGAUUUCCGAAUGGGGAAACCCAGCAUGAGUUAUGUCAUGUUAUCGAUAUGUGAAUACAUAGCAUAUCAGAAGGCACACCCGGAGAACUGAAACAUCUUAGUACCCGGAGGAAGAGAAAGAAAAUUCGAUUCCCUUAGUAGCGGCGAGCGAAACGGGAAGAGCCCAAACCAACAAGCUUGCUUGUUGGGGUUGUAGGACACUCUAUACGGAGUUACAAAGGACGACAUUAGACGAAUCAUCUGGAAAGAUGAAUCAAAGAAGGUAAUAAUCCUGUAGUCGAAAAUGUUGUCUCUCUUGAGUGGAUCCUGAGUACGACGGAGCACGUGAAAUUCCGUCGGAAUCUGGGAGGACCAUCUCCUAAGGCUAAAUACUCUCUAGUGACCGAUAGUGAACCAGUACCGUGAGGGAAAGGUGAAAAGCACCCCGGAAGGGGAGUGAAAUAGAACCUGAAACCGUGUGCUUACAAGUAGUCAGAGCCCGUUAAUGGGUGAUGGCGUGCCUUUUGUAGAAUGAACCGGCGAGUUACGAUUUGAUGCAAGGUUAAGCAGUAAAUGUGGAGCCGUAGCGAAAGCGAGUCUGAAUAGGGCGUUUAGUAUUUGGUCGUAGACCCGAAACCAGGUGAUCUACCCUUGGUCAGGUUGAAGUUCAGGUAACACUGAAUGGAGGACCGAACCGACUUACGUUGAAAAGUGAGCGGAUGAACUGAGGGUAGCGGAGAAAUUCCAAUCGAACCUGGAGAUAGCUGGUUCUCUCCGAAAUAGCUUUAGGGCUAGCCUCAAGUGAUGAUUAUUGGAGGUAGAGCACUGUUUGGACGAGGGGCCCCUCUCGGGUUACCGAAUUCAGACAAACUCCGAAUGCCAAUUAAUUUAACUUGGGAGUCAGAACAUGGGUGAUAAGGUCCGUGUUCGAAAGGGAAACAGCCCAGACCACCAGCUAAGGUCCCAAAAUAUAUGUUAAGUGGAAAAGGAUGUGGCGUUGCCCAGACAACUAGGAUGUUGGCUUAGAAGCAGCCAUCAUUUAAAGAGUGCGUAAUAGCUCACUAGUCGAGUGACACUGCGCCGAAAAUGUACCGGGGCUAAACAUAUUACCGAAGCUGUGGAUUGUCCUUUGGACAAUGGUAGGAGAGCGUUCUAAGGGCGUUGAAGCAUGAUCGUAAGGACAUGUGGAGCGCUUAGAAGUGAGAAUGCCGGUGUGAGUAGCGAAAGACGGGUGAGAAUCCCGUCCACCGAUUGACUAAGGUUUCCAGAGGAAGGCUCGUCCGCUCUGGGUUAGUCGGGUCCUAAGCUGAGGCCGACAGGCGUAGGCGAUGGAUAACAGGUUGAUAUUCCUGUACCACCUAUAAUCGUUUUAAUCGAUGGGGGGACGCAGUAGGAUAGGCGAAGCGUGCGAUUGGAUUGCACGUCUAAGCAGUAAGGCUGAGUAUUAGGCAAAUCCGGUACUCGUUAAGGCUGAGCUGUGAUGGGGAGAAGACAUUGUGUCUUCGAGUCGUUGAUUUCACACUGCCGAGAAAAGCCUCUAGAUAGAAAAUAGGUGCCCGUACCGCAAACCGACACAGGUAGUCAAGAUGAGAAUUCUAAGGUGAGCGAGCGAACUCUCGUUAAGGAACUCGGCAAAAUGACCCCGUAACUUCGGGAGAAGGGGUGCUCUUUAGGGUUAACGCCCAGAAGAGCCGCAGUGAAUAGGCCCAAGCGACUGUUUAUCAAAAACACAGGUCUCUGCUAAACCGUAAGGUGAUGUAUAGGGGCUGACGCCUGCCCGGUGCUGGAAGGUUAAGAGGAGUGGUUAGCUUCUGCGAAGCUACGAAUCGAAGCCCCAGUAAACGGCGGCCGUAACUAUAACGGUCCUAAGGUAGCGAAAUUCCUUGUCGGGUAAGUUCCGACCCGCACGAAAGGCGUAACGAUUUGGGCACUGUCUCAACGAGAGACUCGGUGAAAUCAUAGUACCUGUGAAGAUGCAGGUUACCCGCGACAGGACGGAAAGACCCCGUGGAGCUUUACUGUAGCCUGAUAUUGAAAUUCGGCACAGCUUGUACAGGAUAGGUAGGAGCCUUUGAAACGUGAGCGCUAGCUUACGUGGAGGCGCUGGUGGGAUACUACCCUAGCUGUGUUGGCUUUCUAACCCGCACCACUUAUCGUGGUGGGAGACAGUGUCAGGCGGGCAGUUUGACUGGGGCGGUCGCCUCCUAAAAGGUAACGGAGGCGCUCAAAGGUUCCCUCAGAAUGGUUGGAAAUCAUUCAUAGAGUGUAAAGGCAUAAGGGAGCUUGACUGCGAGACCUACAAGUCGAGCAGGGUCGAAAGACGGACUUAGUGAUCCGGUGGUUCCGCAUGGAAGGGCCAUCGCUCAACGGAUAAAAGCUACCCCGGGGAUAACAGGCUUAUCUCCCCCAAGAGUUCACAUCGACGGGGAGGUUUGGCACCUCGAUGUCGGCUCAUCGCAUCCUGGGGCUGUAGUCGGUCCCAAGGGUUGGGCUGUUCGCCCAUUAAAGCGGUACGCGAGCUGGGUUCAGAACGUCGUGAGACAGUUCGGUCCCUAUCCGUCGUGGGCGUAGGAAAUUUGAGAGGAGCUGUCCUUAGUACGAGAGGACCGGGAUGGACAUACCUCUGGUGUACCAGUUGUCGUGCCAACGGCAUAGCUGGGUAGCUAUGUGUGGACGGGAUAAGUGCUGAAAGCAUCUAAGCA
RNAcentral lists this ribosomal RNA (2788 nucleotides) under Staphylococcus aureus. RNAcentral describes it as "partial 23S ribosomal RNA". It matches the Rfam family "Bacterial large subunit ribosomal RNA". The record is from RNAcentral. Lineage: Bacteria; Bacillati; Bacillota; Bacilli; Caryophanales; Staphylococcaceae.